AACGGACGCUGGCGGCAGGCCUAACACAUGCAAGUCGAGCGAGGACUUCGGUUCUAGCGGCGGACGGGUGAGUAACGCGUGGGAAUGUGCCCUUCUCUACGGAAUAGCCCUGGGAAACUGGGAGUAAUACCGUAUACGCCCUAUUGGGGAAAGAUUUAUCGGAGAAGGAUCAGCCCGCGUUGGAUUAGGUAGUUGGUGGGGUAAUGGCCUACCAAGCCGACGAUCCAUAGCUGGUUUGAGAGGAUGAUCAGCCACACUGGGACUGAGACACGGCCCAGACUCCUACGGGAGGCAGCAGUGGGGAAUCUUAGACAAUGGGGGCAACCCUGAUCUAGCCACGCCGCGUGAGUGAUGAAGGCCUUAGGGUUGUAAAGCUCUUUCAGCUGGGAAGAUAAUGACGGUACCAGCAGAAGAAGCCCCGGCUAACUCCGUG
Molecule: ribosomal RNA, 433 nt
Filed under: uncultured bacterium
Lineage: Bacteria
Description: partial 16S ribosomal RNA
Rfam family: Bacterial small subunit ribosomal RNA
Source: RNAcentral